Molecule: long non-coding RNA, 199 nt
Filed under: Medicago truncatula (barrel medic)
Lineage: Eukaryota; Viridiplantae; Streptophyta; Magnoliopsida; Fabales; Fabaceae
Description: long non-coding RNA (MTRU_LNC007982)
Source: RNAcentral
UUAAGAGUCCCACAUCGGUUAGGAGUUGGUCUGACAAUUUGUUUAUAAGUGGGGGCAAUCCUCACCUCACAAGCCGGUUUUGUGGGGUUGUGUUAGGCCCAACCACGAUUUUUAAUAUGGUAUCAGAGCCUCUUCACGAUUGUUUGGGCCACCUGUUAUCAGGUUUCCGUUAUCGGGCCACCCGUCAUUUAUGUUCACG